This 497-nucleotide ribosomal RNA is filed under the name uncultured bacterium. RNAcentral's name for it is "partial 16S ribosomal RNA". It matches the Rfam family "Bacterial small subunit ribosomal RNA", at positions 28 to 507 of the family's 1533-position model. The record is from RNAcentral.
GAUGAACGCUGGCGGCGUGCCUAAUACAUGCGAGUCGAGCGAACAGACGAGGAGCUUGCUCCUCUGACGUUAGCGGCGGACGGGUGAGUAACACGUGUAUAACCUACCUAUAAGACUGGGAUAACUUCGGGAAACCGGAGCUAAUACCGGAUAAUAUAUUGAACCGCAUGGUUCAAUAGUGAAAGACGGUUUUGCUGUCACUUAUAGAUGGAUCCGCGCCGCAUUAGCUAGUUGGUAAGGUAACGGCUUACCAAGGCAACGAUGCGUAGCCGACCUGAGAGGGUGAUAGGCCACACUAGAAGGGAGACACGGUCAAGACUCCUACGGGACGCAGCAGUAGGGAAUCUUCCGCAAUGGGCGAAAGCCUGACGGAGCAACGCCGCGUGAGUGAUGAAGGUCUUCGGAUCGUAAAACUCUGUUAUUAGGGAAGAACAAAUGUGUAAGUAACUAUGCACGUCUUGACGGUACCUAAUCAGAAAGCCACGGCUAACUACGUG